This 465-nucleotide ribosomal RNA is filed under the name uncultured bacterium. RNAcentral's name for it is "partial 16S ribosomal RNA". It matches the Rfam family "Bacterial small subunit ribosomal RNA", at positions 28 to 507 of the family's 1533-position model. The record is from RNAcentral.
GACGAACGCUGGCGGCGUGCUUAACACAUGCAAGUCGAACGGAAAGGCCCCUUUGGGGGUACUCGAGUGGCGCACGGGUGAGUAACACGUGAGUAACCUGCCCUUGACUUCGGGAUAACUUCAGGAAACUGGGGCUAAUACCGGAUAGGAAUCCUUGCUGCAUGGUGGGGGUUGGAAAGCUUCGGCGGUUUUGGAUGGACUCGCGGCUUAUCAGCUUGUUGGUGGGGUAGUGGCUUACCAAGGCUUUGACGGGUAGCCGGCCUGAGAGGGCGACCGGCCACAUUGGGACUGAGAUACGGCCCAGACUCCUACGGGAGGCAGCAGUGGGGAAUAUUGCACAAUGGGCGGAAGUCUGAUGCAGCAACGCCGCGUGCGGGAUGACGGCCUUCGGGUUGGAAACCGCUUUCAGCAGGGGCGAAGCUUGUGGUGACGGUACCUGCAGAAGAAGCACCGGCUAACUACGUG